This 428-nucleotide long non-coding RNA is filed under the name Mustela putorius furo (domestic ferret). Its description in RNAcentral is "lncRNA (ENSMPUG00000027169.1)". The record is from RNAcentral. Lineage: Eukaryota; Metazoa; Chordata; Mammalia; Carnivora; Mustelidae.
CUGAGAUGUGCAUCAGUACGGAUGGCAAAAGCUGAUACCACAGACGAAGAAUUGCACAAACUGAGUCAAAAUGAAACAGAAACAUAUCACAGGGUUAUCAGCAAGAUGUUUGGGGGUAAAUACUGCAGACAGAAAGCCACUGAGUUCCUGGAUCCCGUGCUCUGGAUUGCAUUCUGAAAAUCGCUUAUUACAGAUAAAGCCCCCUUCCAGGUACGCUUCCGAGAAACAUAUGUAUUUAUGCACACAAAGGUGUGUGCAGAUCUUUUCACAAACAAAUGUCCAUAUGAUGCCUGCGUCGCGCUCCCCUGCACAUGCCCACCGCGUGGUGCGCCCAGCCGGCCACGCCGCGCAGCCGGGGAGCCCAUGAGGACAGGCUUGCCCCCGAACACGCGGGAGCCCCGCGGGCCUCCCCGGGAAAGUUAACCGGC